AGAGCUUAUGGUGAAUGCCUUGGGACAAACAGGCGAUGAAGGACGUGCUAAUCUGCGAUAAGCAACGGGUAGCUGAUAAGAGGCUUUAAUCCGUUGAUCUCCGAAUGAGGAAACUCAAUCUAAUGAGAAUUAGAUUACUGUAUAAAUGAAUUCAUAGUUUAACAGAGCGAUACCUGGUGAAGUGAAACAUCUCAGUAACCAGAGGAAAAGAAAACGAAGUGAUUCCCUGUGUAGCGGCGAGCGAAAGGGGAGUAGGCCAAACCGAAUUUCGAUUCGGGGUUGUAGGACUACAAUAUGGAAUAGAGAAUGAUAGUAGAAUUGGUUGGGAAGCCAAAUCAUAGAGGGUGAUAAUCCCGUAUACGAAAUCAUUCUUUUACCUAGUAGGAUCCUGAGUAGGGCGGGACACGUGAAAUCCUGUCUGAAUCCACCCAGACCAUUGGGUAAGCCUAAAUACUAGUUUGUCACCGAUAGAGCAUAGUACCGUGAGGGAACGGUGAAAAGAACCCAGAGAUGGGAGUGAAAUAGAACCUGAAACCAUAAGCUUACAAGGUGUUAGAGCACAUUAAUGUGUGAUAGCGUGCCUUUUGAAGUAUGAGCCAGCGAGUUAUUAUAGCAUGCGAGGUUAAAUCGUAGAGAUGGAGCCGUAGGGAAACCGAGUCUUAAUAGGGCGUUUUAGUAUGUUAUAAUAGACGCGAAACGGGGUGAUCUAUCCAUGGGCAGGUUGAAGGUGAAGUAACAUUCACUGGAGGACCGAACCCACUUUCGUUGAAACGACAGGGGAUGACCUGUGGAUAGUGGUGAAAUUCCAAUCGAACUCCGUGAUAGCUCGUUCUCGUCGAAAUAUUUUUAGGAAUAGCGUUAGAUUAUUGGGAAUAUGGGGGUAAAGCACUGAAUCUAUGAUGGCGCCACCUCGGUGUACUGAAUAGAAUCAAACUCUGAAUACCAUAUUACCUAUUCUAGCAGUCAGACAGUGGGGGAUAAGCUUCAUUGUCGCGAGGGAAACAGCCCAGAUCAUUAACUAAGGUCCCUAAUAUAUGCUAAGUGGAAAACGAUGUUGAGUUUCAUAAACAGCAAGGAUGUUGGCUUAGAAGCAGCCACCGUUUAAAGAGUGCGUAACAGCUCACUUGUCGAGAGACUCUGCGCGGAAGAUGUAACGGGGCUAAGCAUAUAACCGAAGUUAUGGGUUACAUAUUAUAUAUGUAGCGGUAGACGAGUGUUGUAUAUGGGGCGAAGGUAGACUGUGAAGACUACUGGACUUUAUACAAGUAAGAAUGCUGGCGUGAGUAACGAAUGAGAGUGAGAAUCUCUCAAACCGAUUGACUAAGGGUUCCUGGGCAAGGGUCGUCCUCCCAGGGUAAGUCGGAUCCUAAGGCGAGGCUGAAAAGCGUAGUCGAUGGAAAACAGGUUAAUAUUCCUGUACCUACAAAUUGUGUGAUGGAGUGACGGAGAAGGUUAUUAUGUGCCGGUUAUUGGAUUCCGGUUUAAAUAACAAGGUUAGUAAGUUGGCAAAUCCGCUUACUAUUAGGACCAAGUUAUGAAUACGAGCGACCCCUUCGGGCAGUAGCGAAGACAUAUACAUCAUGCUUCCAAGAAAAGCUUCUAGCGUUAAACAAUUAGUAGUCCGUACCGAGAACGAACACACGUGGUCAAGGAGAAUAUCCUAAGGUUAGCGAGUUAACUACAGUUAAGGAACUCUGCAAAUUAACCCCGUACGUUAGCAAUAAGGGGUGCUCGCUGUAAAAGGUGAGCCGCAGUGAAUAGCGAGGGGGGACUGUUUAACAAAAACACAGCUCUAUGCUAAGUCGUAAGACGAUGUAUAUGGGGUGACACCUGCCCAAUGCUGUAAGGUUAAAGAAGAAUGUUAGCGCAAGCGAAGCUUUUAACUGAAGCCCCAGUGAAUGGCGGCCGUAACUAUAACGGUCCUAAGGUAGCGAAAUUCCUUGUCGGGUAAAUUCCGUCCCGCUUGAAUGGUGUAACCAUCUCUUGACUGUCUCAACUGUAGACUCGGUGAAAUCCUGGUGAGGGUGAAGACGCCCUCUUGGCGUGAUUGGACGGAAAGACCCCAUGAAGCUUUACUGUAGCUUAAUAUUGGGAAAUUUUAUUACUUGUAGAGCAUAGGUAGGAGACUGUGAAGUAUACUCGCUAGGGUAUAUGGAGUCAACGUUGGAAUACUACCCUUGUGAUAAGAUUUCUCUAACCUGCAGCCAUGAAUCUGGCUGGGGGACAGUGUUAGGUGGGCAGUUUGACUGGGGCGGUCGCCUC
RNAcentral lists this ribosomal RNA (2262 nucleotides) under human metagenome. RNAcentral's name for it is "bacterial LSU rRNA". It matches the Rfam family "Bacterial large subunit ribosomal RNA", at positions 14 to 2289 of the family's 2925-position model. The record is from RNAcentral.